UACGUAGGGGGCAAGCGUUGUCCGGAAUCAUUGGGCGUAAAGAGCGUGUAGGCGGCCAUGCAGGUCCGUUGUGAAAACUGGAGGCUUAACCUCCAGACGUCGAUGGAAACCGUAUGGCUAGAGUCCGGAAGAGGAGAGUGGAAUUCCUGGUGUAGCGGUGAAAUGCGCAGAUAUCAGGAGGAACACCUGCGGCGAAGGCGGAUCUCUGGGCCGUAACUGACGCUGAGGAGCGAAAGCAUGGGGAGCGAACAGG
This 253-nucleotide ribosomal RNA is filed under the name uncultured bacterium. RNAcentral describes it as "partial 16S ribosomal RNA". It matches the Rfam family "Bacterial small subunit ribosomal RNA", at positions 524 to 776 of the family's 1533-position model. The record is from RNAcentral.